UUAUAUCCCUUAACGACUUUACCUAAUAGAUUAGUCACUCGUGAAUGGCCAACUCAGAGAAAAAAAGACCAUAGGUGUGUCGACAAAAUGCCCAUUUCAUAUUAUCGGGAUGAGGUCGAAUUUCAGGAUGUCACACCUAUAAUAAAGAUGUCAUCAACAUAUAUACAAGUAGAUUGAUGAUGUACCUUGACUCCAUGUGAACAAGGCAUAGUUGUGUCUAGAUUGUCGGAAUUUGAUAGCUAUAAGUGCACUGCUAAAUUUGGCAUUGUUGAUGCC
This 276-nucleotide long non-coding RNA is filed under the name Eucalyptus grandis. RNAcentral's name for it is "long non-coding RNA (EGRA_LNC005665)". Lineage: Eukaryota; Viridiplantae; Streptophyta; Magnoliopsida; Myrtales; Myrtaceae. The record is from RNAcentral.